CCUACGGGUGGCUGCAGUGAGGAAUAUUGGUCAAUGGGCUUACGCCUGAACCAGCCAAGUCGCGUGAGGGAAGACUGCCCUAUGGGUUGUAAACCUCUUUUGUCAGGGAGCAAUUGGCGCUACGUGUAGCGUUAUCGAGAGUACCUGAAGAAAAAGCAUCGCCAAACUCCGUGCAGGCAGCCGCGGUAAUACGAGGGAUGCGGGGGUUAUCCGUAUUUAUUGGGUUUAAAGGGUGCGUGGGCGGAAUGCAAAGUCAGCGGUAAAGUCGCGGGGCUCAACCUCGCUCUGCCGUUGAAACUGGCAUUCUUGAGUGGGCGAGAAGUAUGCGGAAUGCGUGGUGUAGCGGUGAAAUGCAUAGAUAUCACGCAGAACUCCGAUUGCGAAGGCAGCAUACCGGCGCCCAACUGACGCUGAAGCACGAAAGCGUGGGUAUCGAACAGGAUUAGAUACCCUAGUAGUC
Molecule: ribosomal RNA, 460 nt
Filed under: uncultured bacterium
Lineage: Bacteria
Description: partial 16S ribosomal RNA
Rfam family: Bacterial small subunit ribosomal RNA
Source: RNAcentral